CUGCGCGCGGUGCUCGGGCCUUCUUCCGCGACGCUUCUGUGUUUCGGGUCGGUGAAGGCGCGCUCAGCGAUCUCAGGCUUCUGCUUGGGAAGAUUUGUGAGGAUGCUGAGGCCUGAGGUCUUAUCAGUCUCGCCUUCUGUCCCUGCGGCUUCCCCCUCAUUGGGAGAGGCUCGGUCUCAGGGUCCUCGCUAUAAUUUCGGACUCCAGGAGACUCCUCAGAGCCGCCCUUCAGUGCAGGCCUCUGCGUCCAGCCCUUCUGGCACAUCUGGAGCCGCCGGCGACCGGAGCAGCAGCGCCAGUCUCCCUCGCCACCCGCCUCGCGCCCGGCCAGCCCAAGGUUCAUAUUUUGGAAACAAAAGAUCUAAUGCAGAAAACCCAUUUGCAUCAGAUUUUACUUUUGGUACAAGCUCGGCUUCUGCACAAGAUAGUAAUUAUCCUCAAAUACUGAAAACUCCAUUGUCUGCUGGAAAUCCCCAGAGAUCAGGUUAUAAAAGUUGGACACCACAAAUGGGAUAUUCAGCUACAUCGUCAUCUGCGGUUUCAACACACUCCCCAUCAGUUAUUGUAGCUGUUGUAGAAGGUAGAGGACUUGCCAGAGGUGAAAUAGGAAUGGCAAGUAUUGAUUUAAAAAGCCCACAAAUUAUAUUAUCUCAGUUUGCAGACAAUACAACAUAUGCAAAGGUGAUCACUAAACUCAGAAUUUUAUCACCUUUGGAAAUAAUAAUGUCAAAUACUGCUUGUGUUGUGGGGAAUUCAACUAAGUUGUUUACUCUGAUCACAGAAAAUUUCAAGAAUGUUAAUUUUACUACUAUCCAAAGGAAAUACUUCAAUGAAACAAAAGGACUAGAGUACAUUGAACAGUUAUGCAUAACAGAAUUCAGCACUGUCCUAAUGGAGGUUCAGUCCAAGUAUUACUGCCUUGCAGCUGUUGCAGCUUUAUUAAAAUAUGUAGAAUUUAUUCAAAAUUCAGUUUAUGCACCAAAAUCGCUGAAGAUUUGUUUCCAGGGUAGUGAACAGACAGCCAUGAUAGAUUCAUCAUCAGCCCAAAACCUUGAAUUACUAAUUAAUAAUCAAGACUGUAGGAAUAAUCACACACUCUUUGGUGUUCUAAAUUAUACUAAGACUCCUGGAGGAAGUAGAAGACUUCGUUCUAAUAUAUUAGAACCUCUAGUUGAUAUUGAAACCAUUAACAUGAGAUUAGAUUGUGUUCAAGAACUACUUCAAGAUGAGGAACUCUUUUUUGGACUUCAAUCAGUUAUAUCAAGAUUUCUUGAUACAGAGCAGCUUCUUUCUGUUUUAGUCCAAAUUCCAAAGCAAGACACGGUUAAUGCAGCUGAAUCAAAGAUAACAAAUUUAAUAUACCUAAAACAUACCUUGGAACUUGUGGAUCCUUUAAAGGGUCCAGUCCAGGACCAUGCAUUUGCUCUCGCAAACAGGGUGAACGUUCCUAAAACCUGCCGGACUGUCUGCAAGAAGUGUGGAAGCACCAGCCCCACAAAGUGACACAGUACAAGAAGGGCAAAGAUUCUCUUUAUGCCCAGGGAAAGCGGCAUUAUGACAGGAAGCAGAGUGGCUAUCGUGGGCAGACUAAGCCAAUUUUCCGGAAAAAGGCUAAAACUACAAAGAAGAUUGUGCUGAGGCUUGAAUGUGUUGAGCUCAACUGCAGAUCUAAGAGAAUGCUGGCUAUUAAGAGAUGCAAGCAUUUUGAACUGGGAGGAGAUAAGAAGAGGAAGGGCCAAGUGAUCCAGUUCUAAGCUUUAUAUUUUGUUAAUAUUAUGAAGACAAUAAAAUCUUGAGGUUAUGUUC
RNA transcript from Odobenus rosmarus divergens (Pacific walrus), 1806 nucleotides. It is a transcript of the gene named mutS protein homolog 4-like, with no coding region annotated. The transcript is spliced from 11 exons. The record is from RefSeq and is a predicted model, not a curated record. NCBI's taxonomy places the organism in Eukaryota, Metazoa, Chordata, Mammalia, Carnivora, Odobenidae.